GAUAUUUUUAAGUCUCCGCAUCUUUCUUACUUUCCUAUAUGAAAAUAAAAUGUAAGUAUCACAAUUACACACAUACAAGUUUUUUUUUUUAAUUCAGUUUCAUAAUUACCAAUUUUUAGUGAAUAAUCCUGAAAUUUAUGAAAAUACAUACAUUUUAAGGUUAUGUCAUAAUGUUUUGAUUGUUAUAUUUGAUUUUGUUUUUGUUAUUUUAGUGGACUACACCAACAAAGGUUAUGUGUUUUGCACCAGAUUGAAAGCAUCAUAGCGAAAAACGGACCUGUCAUAUCUUUAAAUUUUCAAAAGAGCCCCUGGAAAAAGAAAAAUGAAUAUCUUUGCCAAGGAAUAGGUACUAAGGCAAAUGGAUAAAAAACCUUCAGUCCAUGCAUUGGUAUGUAAUUGUUGACAAAAAUACAAUGAAUGGCCUCACUACUUUUCCACAUGCAAAGAGGUUAACCAAGGAGAAAUUAAAGAAAUUGUCAAAAACCUAGGUAAAUACAGAAUUGCUUAGUACAAACAUAUCUAUACCCAGUACAAGUUCGUCCACUUCUUUGAAGCAUGGUACUUCAAACAGAAACACUGUCAACAAUUUUGUAGAAGGUGAGCCGGUGUCAAAUUCCAGUAAGGGACAUGAUUUCAAUUUUGCACCAACAGCAGAGCUAAAAUUCAUUUUGCCGCAAAAAACUGGAGGAUGUGAAAGAAAAAAGUGCAGAAGUUAAAAUUAAGUUUUUCAUAUGAGCACAUAAAAAAUAAUCAUGACAAAGUUCAGUUGUAUACAGGUUUGACAUGUAAUAAAUAUUUUUGUAAUCUUAUUAAGUUAAUUAGUUUUAUAUAUUAUUUAAAUAAUAAUUGAAUACUUCACAUAGAAUAUGCAGAAAUUAUAUGUACAUAUAUAAAUUUUUUUAUUAAGAUAAGGACAACAUGUAUUAAAGCAUAACACAUAAUAUAAACACACACGUAAUAUCUUCAUUAAAAAUUAUGAUUGUAUGUUAUGUAGCAUUAGAGCCUAAAAACAUUAAGGAGAAUAAAGGUCGUUAUUGGCAAA
Long non-coding RNA from Anthonomus grandis grandis, 1042 nucleotides. RefSeq lists it as uncharacterized. The transcript is spliced from 3 exons. The record is from RefSeq and is a predicted model, not a curated record. NCBI's taxonomy places the organism in Eukaryota, Metazoa, Arthropoda, Insecta, Coleoptera, Curculionidae.